This 500-nucleotide ribosomal RNA is filed under the name uncultured bacterium. RNAcentral describes it as "partial 16S ribosomal RNA". It matches the Rfam family "Bacterial small subunit ribosomal RNA", at positions 29 to 523 of the family's 1533-position model. The record is from RNAcentral.
AUUGAACGCUGGCGGAAUGCUUUACACAUGCAAGUCGAACGGCAGCACGGACUUCGGUCUGGUGGCGAGUGGCGAACGGGUGAGUAAUACAUCGGAACGUGCCCAGUCGUGGGGGAUAACGUAGCGAAAGCUACGCUAAUACCGCAUACGAUCUAAGGAUGAAAGCGGGGGAUCGCAAGACCUCGCGCGAUUGGAGCGGCCGAUGGCAGAUUAGGGAGUUGGUGGGGUAAAGGCCUACCAAGCCGACGAUCUGUAGCGGGUCUGAGAGGACGACCGGCCCACCGUGGACUGAGACACGGCCAAGACUCCUACGGGAGGCAGCAGUGGGGAAUUUUGGAAAAGGGGCGCAAGCCUGUUUCAGCCAUUCCGCGUGCAGGAUGAAGGCCCUCGGGUUGUAAACUGCUUUUGUACGGAACGAAAAGGCUCUGGUUAAUACCCGGGGCUCAUGACGGUACCGUAAGAAUAAGCACCGGCUAACUACGUGCCAGCCGCCGCGGUAA